AUAUUUAGACAAACGCGGCAUUUUUAAUAGUGCUGAGGAAAGUCCAUGCUCGCAAAGUCUGAGAUGACUUUAGUGUUCGUGCUUAGGGAAAAAAUAACCUAAGGUCAAGGUAACUUGAACGGCUCUUCGAUAACCUAAGUCAAUAGAUAUGGUUUAGAAGUAUAAAAGUGCCAUAGUGACGAAUAAACUAGAAAUAGUGGAUGUGGAACGCGGUAAACCCCACGAGCGAGAAACCCAAAUUUUGGUAGGGGAGCAAAGCCUAGAGAACUGAAUCGAAGCUUUGACCGAGUAAUCGGUAGAUAAAUGUUUGUCACCUCAUCUGAGGUACAGAACAUGGCUUAUUAAU
This 346-nucleotide RNase P RNA is filed under the name Bacilli bacterium. RNAcentral's name for it is "RNase P RNA component class B". It matches the Rfam family "Bacterial RNase P class B". From Rfam's summary of the family: Ribonuclease P (RNase P) is a ubiquitous endoribonuclease, found in archaea, bacteria and eukarya as well as chloroplasts and mitochondria. The record is from RNAcentral. Lineage: Bacteria; Bacillati; Bacillota; Bacilli.